RNAcentral lists this ribosomal RNA (481 nucleotides) under uncultured bacterium. Its description in RNAcentral is "bacterial SSU rRNA". It matches the Rfam family "Bacterial small subunit ribosomal RNA", at positions 30 to 531 of the family's 1533-position model. The record is from RNAcentral.
AUUGAACGCUGGCGGAAUGCUUUACACAUGCAAGUCGAACGGUAGAGGGGGCAACCCCUUGAGAGUGGCGAACGGGUGAGUAAUAUAUCGGAACGUGCCCAGUCGUGGGGAUAACGUAGCGAAAUUUACGCUAAUACCGCAUACGAUCUAAGGAUGAAAGCGGGGGACCGUAAGGCCUCGCGCGAUUGGAGCGGCCGAUAUCAGAUUAGGUAGUUGGUGAGGUAAAGGCUCACCAAGCCGACGAUCUGUAGCUGGUCUGAGAGGACGACCAGCCACACUGGGACUGAGACACGGCCCAGACUCCUACGGGAGGCAGCAGUGGGGAAUAUUGGACAAUGGGCGAAAGCCUGAUCCAGCAAUGCCGCGUGAGUGAUGAAGGCCUUAGGGUUGUAAAGCUCUUUUACCCGGGAUGAUAAUGACAGUACCGAGAGAAUAAGCCCCGGCUAACUCCGUGCCAGCAGCCGCGGUAAAGUGACUACUG